AUUCUCUAUCUGAUGGAGGGCAAAAAUUUCCAUUUAACUGUGUCUCACAUCGAACUCCUCAUUUGAAAGGGGCACCAGAAUGACUCUUUUUGUUCCAGUGGUUCUCAAAUUCACAUCCUCUGUCGAAGAGGUCUAUAAAUGUCAUCCAGUCAUACCAGGGCUUCAGUGCCUCUCCCUCUCCCUAUGGGAGCCUCAGACACACCACAUCUAGUCAUAAAUAUUUCCUCUUCUCCCUGUGUCUAUUGGGCAACAAAGCCUUCUCGAAUGCCCAUAUUUGACUGAAAUAUUUCCUUUUUUUUUCAGUGGUGGACACAUACCUACACUCUCUUGUAAAGUGUAAAUAGAUCUUGUCUUAUUGACUAUGUGUGCCUGCUAUAUUACAACUGUCUAAGAUUACUUCCAAACUUCUUCCUGUUACAAAUAUUCGGAGACAUUCUUCUAUUCAAGAAAAGUGGCCUUGCUCUUAUGUCAUCUGACUAAAGGUUUCAUAGACCAAAGAUAACCAUCCAACCUGUUGGAAUACUGAAACAAUUGCUGCCUGCUUUCCACACACUACAUAAAAUAUGUGGAUAUCCUAAAUUCUACAAAAAAAAGAUUUGUAAGCAAAUCAAGCAAUACUGGGACUCCCUCUUCUCCAGAAGACAGAGACAUCCUGGCCUCCAUGCAGAGGAAUGUGUGGAUAGACAUAUAUUUAAGGAAGACACUAAACCAGAAAAUACUACAUUACACCCUCUUAAAAGACUUCUAAGAACAAAAGCUCAUUUCCUCAAUGCAGAAACUAAAAUGAUGUAUUCCUCACGAUUCAUACCUAGACCCAGGAGAAGAACAUAUGCCUGAGAAGAAGAACUAGUGUGGAACUGUCAGCCAGGUUUUUGGUGAGUGCUCAGACUGCUUCCUGAUCCGGCACCACAUUUACUACAGUGGACAGAUGCUCUAGUCUCUGAUGAGGAGUUGCUAGCUGUAAGGAAGUACCUGGAAUGGGCUCCACUGCAUGAGGUUUGAAGUCUCCAGAGCAGCAAGGAGAGUGGGGAGUAGAACACAUCAUCUUUAGGUCACUCAUCCCCGAUGGAUUGUUCCCAACCUUAUUAUACAGACAACGAUGGUUGAACACAAACUUGUCAGGCUGACAAUGCAAUAGACAUCUACUAAAGUCCUUGGAACCAUGUUCAGAGUGCUGCACAUCCUCCUGAAGAUGCCACGGAUGACAUGGUUCCUUGUGAUUGUUGUUCUCUUCUUGUUGUUGCUGUUUUCUUUUAACUUUUGAAGAGGAUACAUUAUUAGUCUGUUGCUAUGUUAGUCAUCUCCUGGCAUUAGAAACCAACAUGCCACUGCUUAAAUGUUUUACAUUUCCUACUCUUUUUGGAAAGCACAACGUAUGCACAUCAUUUUUUCCUAUUGUUUCAAAGACAUACCACUAUGUAAUUCAACUUUACAAUUGUAAUCAUUUUGACCAAUUGUCACAUGAAUAUAAAUUUUAUGUGUAAA
This 1485-nucleotide long non-coding RNA is filed under the name Mus musculus (house mouse). RNAcentral describes it as "predicted gene 28633". The record is from RNAcentral. Lineage: Eukaryota; Metazoa; Chordata; Mammalia; Rodentia; Muridae.